RNAcentral lists this ribosomal RNA (506 nucleotides) under uncultured bacterium. Its description in RNAcentral is "bacterial SSU rRNA". It matches the Rfam family "Bacterial small subunit ribosomal RNA", at positions 340 to 836 of the family's 1533-position model. The record is from RNAcentral.
UACGGAAGGCAGCAGUGGGGAAUAUUGCACAAUGGGCGAAAGCCUGAUGCAGCUAUGCCGCGUGUAUGAAGAAGGCCUUAGGGUUGUAAAGUACUUUCAUCGGGGAGGAAAAACAAAACUAAUAAUUUUAUUUCUUGACGUUACCCGAAAAAGAAGCACCGGCUAACUCCGUGCCAGCAGCCGCGGUAAUACGGAGGGUGCUAGCGUUAAUCAGAAUUACUGGGCGUAAAGAGCACGUAGGUGGUUUUUUUAAGUCAGAUGUGAAAUCCCUGGGCUUAACCUAGGAACUGCAUUUUGAAACUGAAAUACUAGAGUAUCGUAGAGGGAGGUAGAAUUCUAGGUGUAGCGGUGAAAUGCGUAGAUAUCUGGAGGAAUACCUGUGGCGAAAGCGGCCUCCUAAACGAAUACUGACACUGAGGUGCGAAAGCGUGGGGAGCAAACAGGGAUUUAGAUACCCCCUCGUGAAGUACGUCGACCGAACGGCCAACACGGAAGGGGUAAUAAGG